CGGAGGUACUCGAGUGGCGAACGGGUGAGUAACACGUGGGUGAUCUGCCCUGCACUCUGGGAUAAGCCUGGGAAACUGGGUCUAAUACCGGAUAGGACCAUGCUUUAGUGUGUGUGGUGGAAAAUUUUUUCGGUGUAGGAUGAGCCCGCGGCCUAUCAGCUUGUUGGUGGGGUAAUGGCCUACCAAGGCGGCGACGGGUAGCCGGACUGAGAGGUUGGUCGGCCACAUUGGGACUGAGAUACGGCCCAG
This 249-nucleotide ribosomal RNA is filed under the name uncultured Actinomycetales bacterium. Its description in RNAcentral is "partial 16S ribosomal RNA". It matches the Rfam family "Bacterial small subunit ribosomal RNA", at positions 82 to 334 of the family's 1533-position model. Lineage: Bacteria; Bacillati; Actinomycetota; Actinomycetes; Actinomycetales. The record is from RNAcentral.